This 204-nucleotide unclassified non-coding RNA is filed under the name Hevea brasiliensis (rubber tree). Lineage: Eukaryota; Viridiplantae; Streptophyta; Magnoliopsida; Malpighiales; Euphorbiaceae. The record is from RNAcentral.
GGUAGCUCCUCAAGAUAUUCACAAGAUGACAGGAGAAGUGUCUCUAAGUUAUACAACACAAAAAUGGAAUCCGGCAACUUUGUAAUCCGCGAACAAGAAAGGUCCAAAAAUCUGAGGAGCUUUAAUUUGAUAAACAAGUCAUUUGGCAACUCCUUCAUCACAUAACCUGACAAUGAUAAUGCCCUUAAGGAUCUUAGUGUUGGC